RNAcentral lists this ribosomal RNA (542 nucleotides) under uncultured bacterium. RNAcentral describes it as "bacterial SSU rRNA". It matches the Rfam family "Bacterial small subunit ribosomal RNA", at positions 777 to 1314 of the family's 1533-position model. The record is from RNAcentral.
AAUAGAUACCCAGGUAGUCCACGCCGUAAACGGUGGGUACUAGGUGUGGGUUUCCUUCCUUGGGAUCCGUGCCGUAGCUAACGCAUUAAGUACCCCGCCUGGGGAGUACGGCCGCAAGGCUAAAACUCAAAGGAAUUGACGGGGGGCCCGCACAAGCGGCGGAGCAUGUGGAUUAAUUCGAUGCAACGCGAAGAACCUUACCUGGGUUUGACAUGCACAGGACGCCGGCAGAGAUGUCGGUUCCCUUGUGGCCUGUGUGCAGGUGGUGCAUGGCUGUCGUCAGCUCGUGUCGUGAGAUGUUGGGUUAAGUCCCGCAACGAGCGCAACCCUUGUCCUAUGUUGCCAGCGGGUUAUGCCGGGGACUCGUAGGAGACUGCCGGGGUCAACUCGGAGGAAGGUGGGGAUGACGUCAAGUCAUCAUGCCCCUUAUGUCCAGGGCUUCACACAUGCUACAAUGGCCGGUACAAAGGGCUGCGAUGCCGUGAGGUGGAGCGAAUCCUUGGUAAAGCCGGUCUCAGUUCGGAUCGGGGUCUGCAACUCCG